RNAcentral lists this non-coding RNA (99 nucleotides) under unclassified sequences. The record is from RNAcentral.
GCCCGAAAGGGUGCUGGUUGGAAGCCAAGAAAAAGACCAGCUAAAAGGCGAUACCGUUGGUACGCGGUAAGUGAACACACACUUGGUAAAAAAGUGAAA